Molecule: long non-coding RNA, 777 nt
Filed under: Glycine max (soybean)
Lineage: Eukaryota; Viridiplantae; Streptophyta; Magnoliopsida; Fabales; Fabaceae
Description: long non-coding RNA (GMAX_LNC003195)
Source: RNAcentral
AUCUGGGAAAAGAGUUUGAGCAAGUUGCCUUAGACGCAACAACCAAGACAAAUGAUGCCAAUCUAACAAAGGAUUCAAAUCCAAUCAACGAAAGUGGUGCUUCAACAAAUAAUGCCGAACUUGAGUCUGCAAGGGUUGAACCCAAAUCUGUUGGGGAAAAGUUUGUUGAUAUUAUCCCCUCAGUUGUUCGUCAAAAGAAACAGCAAAAGAAUAUAGGGAGGAGGGAUGUCCCUAACUCUUCUUUUCCAGAGGUUGUUCAAAAGGAUCUUCAAAUCCUUGCAAACUUUUGGAAUCAAGUGGAGAAGGAUGAAAUAGAUAUGGCAACAAAGAACAACGAUGCAACCACAUCAAACAUCAUCAAAGUAGUUCCAACCACUCGAAAGAGGACUUCCAGGAAAAAUAAAUAACUUUGUGCUAGGGAUAUAGUUGCUCCUCAAUCUCCAUUUUCCAGAUUGUUGGUACUUUUCUUUCAUUGGCAACAUUAAAGCUCUUUCGGUUUUUUUUUGCUCGUCCUUCUUGUUUGGAGGAUUCCUUUAGCAAUAACAUAUGUCUUCCUUGCUAUUUUGGCUUAUCUUGCUUUUUCUUCCAUGGGUAUUGGCUUGAUCCCCAUGUUUUGUUGUUAUGUUUUUCUUUCUACUUUAAUAUAUGUUUCCUUUUGUUUAAAAAACAAUUAUUGGUUGUGCAUGUAAAGAGUCAAAGUAAGAUAUCCGAAAUGUUUUUCAUACAAGCUAAAGUUGAACUCCCAAAAUAUCUAAGAGAUUAAUGCAUCUCAGUCAC